GCGUUGUUCGGAAUUAUUGGGCGUAAAGGGUGCGUAGGCGGUUUGACAAGUCUAAUGUGAAAUCUAUGGGCUCAACCCAUAGUCUGCAUUGGAAACUGUCGGGCUUGAGUAUGGGAGAGGUGAGUGGAAUUUCCGGUGUAGCGGUGAAAUGCGUAGAUAUCGGAAGGAACACCUGUGGCGAAAGCGGCUCACUGGACCAUUACUGACGCUGAGGCACGAAAGCUAG
Molecule: ribosomal RNA, 226 nt
Filed under: uncultured bacterium
Lineage: Bacteria
Description: partial 16S ribosomal RNA
Rfam family: Bacterial small subunit ribosomal RNA
Source: RNAcentral